RNAcentral lists this ribosomal RNA (522 nucleotides) under Triticum aestivum (bread wheat). Its description in RNAcentral is "partial small subunit ribosomal RNA". Lineage: Eukaryota; Viridiplantae; Streptophyta; Magnoliopsida; Poales; Poaceae. The record is from RNAcentral.
AUGUAUGCAAUGUUGUGUACCAGACCUGAUGUGUCCCUGGCUAUAAGUUUAGCAGGGAGGUACCAAAGUAAUCCAGGAGUGGAUCACUGGACAGCGGUCAAGAACAUCCUGAAAUACCUGAAAAGGACUAAGGAUAUGUUUCUCGUAUAUGGAGGUGACAAAGAGCUCAUCGUAAAUGGUUACGUUGAUGCAAGCUUUGACACUGAUCCGGACGAUUCGAAAUCGCAAACCGGAUACGUAUUUACAUUGAACGGUGGAGCUGUCAGUUGGUGCAGUUCCAAGCAAAGUGUCGUGGCGGGAUCUACGUGUGAAGCGGAAUACAUAGCUGCUUCGGAAGCAGCGAAUGAAGGAGUCUGGAUGAAGGAGUUCAUAACCGAUCUAGGUGUCAUACCUAGUACAUCGGGACCAAUGAAAAUCUUUUGUGAUAAUACUGGUGCAAUUGCCUUAGCAAAGGAAUCCAGAUUUCACAAGAGAACCAAGCACAUCAGAAGACGCUUCAAUUCCAUCCGGGAUUUAGUCUAG